This 2857-nucleotide long non-coding RNA is filed under the name Mus musculus (house mouse). Its description in RNAcentral is "predicted gene 4425". The record is from RNAcentral. Lineage: Eukaryota; Metazoa; Chordata; Mammalia; Rodentia; Muridae.
GAGGCGUCCCGGACAGCGGCUUGGUGGCGCGUAAUUCCCAAUGACUGUGCGCGCCCGCGUCUGGGCUCGUUUGCCAAGGACUCGGAAGCUGCAGCUCCCAGAGCACAGCGGGCAGAGCUGCGGGCUGUGCGCGCCCCUGCUGCCCCGGGCCUCCAGGGGUGGCUCCCGCGCCCCGCGGCGACUUCCGCGCCCGCGCUUCCCUUUGUUCAAGUCCCGGAGCGGCGUUGGGGUCCGAGCCCGUGCCCUGGGCGACUGAGGCGGCCGCAGUCCGCGCCCCGGCGCCCUGGCGAUGCCAGAACAGAUCUCCGUGUCGGAAUUCAUAGCCGAGACCCUUGAGGACUACAAGGCGCCCACGGCCUAUAGCUUCACCACGCGCACGGCCCAGUGCCGGGACACCAUGUCGGCCAUCGAGGAGGAUGCGGUGACUUAUGAUGAUGUGCAUGUGAACUUCACUGGGGAAGAGUGGAAUUUGCUGGAUCCUUCUCAGAAGAGUCUCUACAAAGAUAUGAUGCUGGAGACCUACUGGAACCUCACUGUUAUAGGCUACACUUGGGAAAACCAUCAUAUUAAAAGACAUUGUCAAAGUUCAAGAAGAAAUGAAAGCCCCUCUUCUCUUCCAGGUUUCCAAAAUGCCUUUCUAGGUUAGAACCCAGGCUGUGAUCUGCUGGCCAGACACAACAUUUGGCGAACCAGUGGGGGACUGAGAAAUGGCAAAGGAAUUUUGGAAGAGGCACUGCUGGUUUGGAGCUCCAUGGAAUAAUUAAAGGAUAAAGGAAAUUCAUACAGGAGAAGGUUCCACCAUCUGCCUGCACUUUGACCCCAUGGCUGUCAAAUCAGAACUCCUGGAAGCUAUUGAAUCUGGGGACUUUGAAACACUUUGAGAAAAUAUGGACAAGGUGGAGCACGGGGUAUCCGAGGUCAGUGAAGCUGGUCUGUAUACAUUGUAGAAGACAUGCAUCUGUGAACCCAGAACAUGCAGCUCAAAGCAUGAAUGCUGUGUAGGCUGUAGCCUGAGUGAGGGCAAUGAUGUCCAUGCUACAGAUGCCCCAUUCUGGUGGAGGGUGUUGACCAGAUGGCCCAGGGAAUGUCUCUGUGCCUGUCUCUCAAUGUUUCUAUGAGUCUAAAACUGCCCUAAAAUAAAGUCAGUUAAAAAUACAUAUGGGACCCAAGGAGCUAAAGGGGUUUGCCACCCCAUAGGAGAAACAAUAUGAACCAACAAGUACCCCCAGAGCUCCCUGGGACUAAACCACCAACAAAAAAGAAUCCCAUGGCUCCAGCUGCAUAUGUAGCAGACGAUGGCCUAGUCAGUCAUCAAUGGGAAGAAAGGCCGUUGGUCUUGUGAUGGUGCUAUGCCCUAGUAUAGGGGAAUGCCUGGGCCAGGAAUCAGGAGUGUGUGGGUUGGGGAGCAUAGGAAGGGGGGCGAGUUAUAGGUGAUUUUCAAAGGAGAAACAGGAAAGGGGAUGUUUGAAAUGUAAAAUAAUGAAAAUAUCUAAUAAAAUAUACAUAUGUGGACUGGUGGUGUGGCUCCAUGCUUAAGAGUUCUUACUGUUCUUUGAGCAGACUCUAGUUCAUUUCCUCCCUUUUUGAGAGGCUCACAAUCACUGAUAAUUCCAGCUCUGGGGGAUCGGAUGCCCUCUUCUGGCCUCCAUGGGCACCUGCACUAGCGUGCAUAUUCCCAACCUAACGUGCCCAUAUCUGUUAGGGAAGUACAUGGCUUUUCUAGUCCAGAUCUUGGAUUUUUGGUCUGAGUCUAAAUUCAGGGGUAGUCCUUUGUAAAGCACUGAGUAUUGAGUGCCUGCUUUGUUUAUAGCUACUGGUUAGGCACUGAUGCAAGGUAAUGAAUGAAGUGAUGCCCUCUUGACUUCAUGGUGUCCAGUCAACCUGGCUGGGUGGGAAGAGGGCAGACACCCAGUCUCCACCACUAUCCCUAGUCUGCAGAGCAAGGGAAGUCCUAGGUCCUCCUGCUCUUUAGAACAGACUCUGGGGCAAACCAGUGCUUUGUUCAGUAAGAACAUUGCAAGUAUGAUCAUUGCUGUGAAUGGAGAGACUGCACCAUAAGGGGAAACAGAGACAGUGCUGUAGCCUAGGAAGAGAAGUUGUGCUCGGGUGACAGGACUUUCCUGUCCCAUUCUGACUGCCACUUAGCUCUUGAGUCAAUUACUAGCCUCCCUGUGAGCCCCAUCUUCCAUCUCGAGGAAAUGGAGGUAACACUGGGCCUCCCUCCUUGGUCUGUCCUGAGGAUCUCAGGGGACAAUGACAGCUUUCAGUGAGGUACAAGACUAUUUAGGAACAGUCCCAUAAUACUGUUCACUGAGAAGAGGCCUCCAGUCCCCAUGUUGGGAACAGAAGUAGGAAAGAGAUGGCCUUCUGAGCUGGCUCUACAAGGGUGGCUAAGUUAUAUUCAUCAUGCUGACUGUGUGUAUCUUUGACCAGAUUGGUGAUGGUAGUGUGCUGUCUGAGUUGGGAUAUAUUUUUACUCCAUGUGUACAUUUUCUUUGUGCCAUUUUCUGAGCCAGCGAAGCACGUCUGGGCAGUAUGGGCUUUGAGGAAAAGGCCUGGUUCAGGUCACUCCCAAUAAAAUCCAGAGCAGGACCUUGGGUGCUCUUUGAGCCUUCCCAAGACCAGCCAGGAUACUCUAUCAAGCAUCCUAAUGACCAGAAAAGAAAAAGGUCUAGGAGCCACACACAGCUGCAUCUGGAUAGCCCAGUUACCUGAAUCCAUAGAGCAAUGGCCAUGACCAUCACCCACAUUGGCUUUGUGACAAUGUUAUUCCAGCUGAGGGUCACCAGUAUCUCACCAGGCUUCUGUUAAUGGGGGAUCAUAGGAAUUAAACACACACACACACACACACACAGAG